GUGCGGGGCUGGGUGGGCCAGUGUGCGUCUAGCAGUUUGGGGUUUGUAAACAGUGCCCUUGUGUUGGACUGAAUGGGGCCACUCCUGCUGCACUGUGUCUCAUUGCCUCCGACCGGCCCCUCACUCUGUGGACUGCCCCCCAUCACAUGCCCUAUUUCCCCAAUGGGGACCCACAAAUAUGUUUGGCACUGGGCCCACAAAAAGUUAAUCCGGCCCUGCAGGGACCAAAGCAGACU
Non-coding RNA from Chelonoidis abingdonii (Abingdon island giant tortoise), 236 nucleotides. Lineage: Eukaryota; Metazoa; Chordata; Testudines; Testudinidae. The record is from RefSeq and is a predicted model, not a curated record.